This is a long non-coding RNA of Pyrus x bretschneideri (Chinese white pear), 986 nucleotides long. RefSeq lists it as uncharacterized. The transcript has 2 exons. The record is from RefSeq and is a predicted model, not a curated record. Lineage: Eukaryota; Viridiplantae; Streptophyta; Magnoliopsida; Rosales; Rosaceae.
UAAAAGAAUAAAACAACAUUAGCAUAACAACCGUUAGAAAAUAAAAUUCAAGUUGCUGCCAUUUGUUGAUACCUGUACAGCAUUUGCAUAUAUAAGAAAUAAAGGGAUAUAGUUUUGGGAAAUGGCCAUUAUAUAAGAAAAAUGGUAAAUUAUAAGAGUCGAUAUCAAUUCGUUAUAAUAUUUUUAAAAUAUUUUAUUUUCAUACCUCAAGUAUUAUUUUAUUUCAAUAUAGUAAAUCUGUUAUAUUUUUCAUCUAUUGAUUCUUUAAAAACUGAUGUGGUUGCCACAUUUGUGUCACGUGACUGCUAAAUUUAUGCUACGUGGCAAUUUUUUUUUAUUCAUUUAAAAAUAAAUAAUUUAAAAGUUAUUAAUUUUAAAAAAAUAAAAAUAAAAAACCAACAUAACCCAUCUUCUUCCCCGACCCCCCCUGCAACCCAAACCCCCCACCCCACCCCACCCCCACCUCCGCCGCAACCCCCACCACACCGAAAACCCAGCUGGGUUUUUUGGAAGCGAGAGUUGCAGAAGACACACAGAGGUGCCCCCACGGAGACAAGGAGAAGAAGACGGAUCGGGUCUUGUAGCUGCUUUCUCCUUCUAAGUCCACUUCUCUUCUCUCUCUCUCUCUCUCUCUCUCUCUCUCUCUCUCUCUCUCUCUCUCUUUCUCUGUCUAGAAUUCCCUUUGCUUUGACUGAGGUCUCCACUCACAAUGAUGGCAAGGACUGCUGCCACAUCGUGGAUGGUAAGAAUGAAUGGCUUAGCAGGAGGUUUCGCAACGAAAGAAUAUAUAUUCCUCUUCCGUUGAGGAACAACUGGUGCUGCUCAUUUUGUAUACAACGAUUCAAACUGUUUAUAUUGUAGUACAUCAUUCAUAGAUAAAAAAAAAAUUAAAAAAAUCCAAAACCAUAAACACAUUCAAUUGUAGUAAAGAAAAUAGAAGAAUAUGAUUUUUCAAAAAACACUAGUAUGACUGGCAUUUAAAGAAA